Molecule: ribosomal RNA, 306 nt
Filed under: uncultured bacterium
Lineage: Bacteria
Description: partial 16S ribosomal RNA
Rfam family: Bacterial small subunit ribosomal RNA
Source: RNAcentral
GACAGCAGUCGCGGUAAUACAGAGGGUGCGAGCGUUAAUCGGAUUUACUGGGCGUAAAGCGUGCGUAGGCGGCUUCUUAAGUCGGAUGUGAAAUCCCUGAGCUUAACUUAGGAAUUGCAUUCGAUACUGGGAAGCUAGAGUAUGGGAGAGGAUGGUAGAAUUCCAGGUGUAGCGGUGAAAUGCGUAGAGAUCUGGAGGAAUACCGAUGGCGAAGGCAGCCAUCUGGCCUAAUACUGACGCUGAGGUACGAAAGCAUGGGGAGCAAACAGGAUUAGAUACCCCAGUAGUCCCUGUCUCUUAUACACA